RNAcentral lists this ribosomal RNA (481 nucleotides) under uncultured bacterium. Its description in RNAcentral is "partial 16S ribosomal RNA". It matches the Rfam family "Bacterial small subunit ribosomal RNA", at positions 28 to 507 of the family's 1533-position model. The record is from RNAcentral.
GAUGAACGCUGGCGGCGUGCUUAACACAUGCAAGUCGAACGAAGCACUUUAUUUGAUUUCCUUCGGGACUGAUUAUUUUGUGACUGAGUGGCGGACGGGUGAGUAACGCGUGGGUAACCUGCCUUGUACAGGGGGAUAACAGUUGGAAACGGCUGCUAAUACCGCAUAAGCGCACGGCAUCACAUGAUGCAGUGUGAAAAACUCCGGUGGUAUAAGAUGGACACGCGUUGGAUUAGCUGGUUGGUGAGGUAACGGCCCACCAAGGCGACGAUCCAUAGCCGACCUGUGAGAGUGACCGCACACAUUGGGACUGAGACACAGCCCAAACUCCUCCGGGAAGCGGCAGUGGGGAAUAUUGCACAAUGGGCGAAAGGCUGAUGCAGCGACGCCGCGUGAGCGAAGAAGUAUUUCGGUAUGUAAAGCUCUAUCAGCAGGGAAGAUAAUGACGGUACCUGACUAAGAAGCACCGGCUAAAUACGUG